Long non-coding RNA from Odontomachus brunneus, 243 nucleotides. RefSeq lists it as uncharacterized. The transcript has 4 exons. NCBI's taxonomy places the organism in Eukaryota, Metazoa, Arthropoda, Insecta, Hymenoptera, Formicidae. The record is from RefSeq and is a predicted model, not a curated record.
GGGGAUGCCGCGCCGGAGGAUUCGACUCGAACCUUUCUGAGUCGGCUCGAAGACGAGCACUCGACUCUAAGGGGAUGCUGCCCCGGAGGAUCCGGUUUGGGCCUAGCAGAGUUGGCGCGAAGAGGCGAAGCAGACGACUUAGGGGCGGCUGCGCCGGAGGAUCCGGUACGGGCUGAGCGGGGUUAGCUCGAAGAAACGAAAGCAGAAUGUGGCUACCCUGAUCGGCUGUUUGGUGAGUCAAAA